AUACGUAGGGGGCGAGCGUUGUCCGGAAUGAUUGGGCGUAAAGGGCGCGUAGGCGGCCUGUUAAGUCUGGAGUGAAAGUCCUGUUUUCAAGAUGGGAAUUGCUUUGGAUACUGGGGGGCUUGAGUGCAGGAGAGGUUAUCGGAAUUCCCGGUGUAGCGGUGAAAUGCGUAGAGAUCGGGAGGAACACCAGUGGCGAAGGCGGGUAACUGGACUGCAACUGACGCUGAGGCGCGAAAGUGUGGGGAGCAAACAGGAUUAGAUACCCUGGUAGUCCACACUGUAAACGAUGAAUGCUAGGUGUAGGAGGUAUCGACCCCUUCUGUGCCGCAGUAAACACAGUAAGCAUUCCGCCUGGGGAGUACGGUCGCAAGAUUAAAACUCAAAUGAAUUGACGGGG
Molecule: ribosomal RNA, 397 nt
Filed under: uncultured bacterium
Lineage: Bacteria
Description: partial 16S ribosomal RNA
Rfam family: Bacterial small subunit ribosomal RNA
Source: RNAcentral